UUUAAAUCUUUGGAGACAGGUACCUAGUUUUCCUUGUGUUAUCAAUUUGAUUUCCAUAAAACUUUUAUUUAUUCUAUUAGUACUAGAGACAAUCUUUUUCGUUCUUGUUCUUUUGCUUUUCUUUUUUUUCUCUUUUUUUUUGAAGAAGUUAUUUUAACUUCUUCAUUUCUUUUUGAUAAUUUUUUUUAUCAGUUUCUCUAGUACCUGUAGCACCUCAAAUU
This 221-nucleotide long non-coding RNA is filed under the name Lathyrus oleraceus (garden pea). RNAcentral describes it as "Pisum sativum (pea) long non-coding RNA (PSAT_LNC006904)". Lineage: Eukaryota; Viridiplantae; Streptophyta; Magnoliopsida; Fabales; Fabaceae. The record is from RNAcentral.